RNAcentral lists this ribosomal RNA (304 nucleotides) under uncultured bacterium. RNAcentral's name for it is "partial 16S ribosomal RNA". It matches the Rfam family "Bacterial small subunit ribosomal RNA", at positions 506 to 807 of the family's 1533-position model. The record is from RNAcentral.
CAGCAGCAGCCGCGGUAAUACAGAGGGUGCGAGCGUUAAUCGGAUUUACUGGGCGUAAAGCGUGCGUAGGCGGCUUUUUAAGUCGGAUGUGAAAUCCCUGAGCUUAACUUAGGAAUUGCAUUCGAUACUGGGAAGCUAGAGUAUGGGAGAGGAUGGUAGAAUUCCAGGUGUAGCGGUGAAAUGCGUAGAGAUCUGGAGGAAUACCGAUGGCGAAGGCAGCCAUCUGGCCUAAUACUGACGCUGAGGUACGAAAGCAUGGGGAGCAAACAGGAUUAGAUACCCGGGUAGUCCCUGUCUCUUAUAC